Molecule: ribosomal RNA, 253 nt
Filed under: uncultured bacterium
Lineage: Bacteria
Description: partial 16S ribosomal RNA
Rfam family: Bacterial small subunit ribosomal RNA
Source: RNAcentral
UACGUAGGGUGCAAGCGUUGUCCGGAUUUAUUGGGUUUAAAGGGUGCGUAGGCGGCCCGUUAAGUCAGCGGUGAAAUCCCAGGGCUCAACCCUGGAACUGCCGUUGAUACUGGCGGGCUUGAGUUCGGUCGAGGCGGGCGGAAUGGAAGCUGUAGCGGUGAAAUGCAUAGAUACCACCAAGAACCCCGAUUGCGUAGGCAGCUCGCUAGGCCGAAACUGACGCUGAGGCACGAAAGCGUGGGGAGCGAACAGG